GUUUGCACUCAUCGGGGAAGGGUGAGAACCUUCGACUAAGGUUCGAUUCGAGCGAAAGCGAGAGAACGUUGCCACAGGCAACGGCCCGAAGGGUGAGGAGCGAAGCGACGAAUAAUCCUUCCCCCACCACGA
This 132-nucleotide small RNA is filed under the name Escherichia coli. RNAcentral's name for it is "RtT sRNA". It matches the Rfam family "RtT RNA". From Rfam's summary of the family: This family represents a bacterial cis-regulatory element known as RtT RNA. The exact function of RtT is unknown although it is thought that it may be involved in changing the cellular response in relation to amino acid starvation. Lineage: Bacteria; Pseudomonadati; Pseudomonadota; Gammaproteobacteria; Enterobacterales; Enterobacteriaceae. The record is from RNAcentral.